GCAUUCCUUGUUUCCACGUCACAGACUCACACCGCUGUACAUGCACAGCAUACAGCACUGCAGUGACGUGCAGUGAGGUUCAUGAUUGGUGAGGCACUGACUACGUCACAGUCAGCUUCACAGCCCUCCUUCAGAGAUCUUGGUGAAAAGUGUUGAUGGCGAUUCCC
This is a long non-coding RNA of Phyllopteryx taeniolatus (common seadragon), 167 nucleotides long. RefSeq lists it as uncharacterized. The record is from RefSeq and is a predicted model, not a curated record. NCBI's taxonomy places the organism in Eukaryota, Metazoa, Chordata, Actinopteri, Syngnathiformes, Syngnathidae. The transcript has 3 exons.